This 428-nucleotide ribosomal RNA is filed under the name uncultured bacterium. RNAcentral describes it as "bacterial SSU rRNA". It matches the Rfam family "Bacterial small subunit ribosomal RNA", at positions 108 to 518 of the family's 1533-position model. The record is from RNAcentral.
GAGUAACACGUGGGUAACCUGCCCAUAAGAGGGGAGUAACAUCCGGAAACGGGUGCUAAUACCGCAUAGUUUCUUGAUCGCAUGAUUGAGAAAGGAAAGACGGCCUUUGUGCUGUCGCUUAUGGAUGGACCCGCGGCGUAUUAGUUAGUUAGGUGAGGUAACGGCUCACCAAGACGAUGAUACGUAGCCGACCUGAGAGGGUGAUCGGCCACAUUGGGACUGAGACACGGCCCAAACUCCUACGGGAGGCAGCAGUAGGGAAUCUUCCGCAAUGGACGAAAGUCUGACGGAGCAACGCCGCGUGAGUGAAGAAAAGGUUUUCGGAUCGUAAAACUCUGUUGUCAGAGAAGAACAAGUUGGAGAGUAACUGCUCCAGCCUUGACGGUAUCUGACCAGAAAGCCACGGCUAACUACGUGCCAGCAGCCGC